RNAcentral lists this transfer RNA (72 nucleotides) under Ptenopus garrulus (Whistling gecko). RNAcentral's name for it is "tRNA-Gln". It matches the Rfam family "tRNA". From Rfam's summary of the family: Transfer RNA (tRNA) molecules are approximately 80 nucleotides in length. Their secondary structure includes four short double-helical elements and three loops (D, anti-codon, and T loops). Lineage: Eukaryota; Metazoa; Chordata; Lepidosauria; Squamata; Gekkonidae. The record is from RNAcentral.
CUAUAGGUAGUAUAAUUGGGAGUACGAAAAAUUUUGGAUUUUUUUGUGUGGGUUCGUAACCCGUUCUGUAGG